RNAcentral lists this ribosomal RNA (445 nucleotides) under uncultured bacterium. RNAcentral describes it as "partial 16S ribosomal RNA". It matches the Rfam family "Bacterial small subunit ribosomal RNA", at positions 354 to 796 of the family's 1533-position model. The record is from RNAcentral.
GUGAGGAAUAUUGGUCAAUGGGCGCAAGCCUGAACCAGCCAUGCCGCGUGCAGGAAGACGGUCCUAUGGAUUGUAAACUGCUUUUAUUUGGGAAUAAACCUCCUUACGUGUAGGGAGCUGAAGGUACCAAAUGAAUAAGCACCGGCUAACUCCGUGCCAGCAGCCGCGGUAAUACGGAGGGUGCAAGCGUUAUCCGGAAUCAUUGGGUUUAAAGGGUCCGCAGGCGGUCAUAUAAGUCAGUGGUGAAAGCCUACAGCUCAACUGUAGAACUGCCAUUGAUACUGUAUGACUUGAAUUCGAUCGAAGUGGGCGGAAUGUGACAUGUAGCGGUGAAAUGCUUAGAUAUGUCACAGAACACCGAUAGCGAAGGCAGCUCACUAGGUCUGGAUUGACGCUCAGGGACGAAAGCGUGGGGAGCAAACAGGAUUAGAUACCCCUGUAGUCC